Molecule: ribosomal RNA, 1291 nt
Filed under: Cortinarius aff. parvus TUB 012696
Lineage: Eukaryota; Fungi; Basidiomycota; Agaricomycetes; Agaricales; Cortinariaceae
Description: eukaryotic LSU rRNA
Rfam family: Eukaryotic large subunit ribosomal RNA (bases 631-1291)
Source: RNAcentral
AGGUUUCCGUAGGUGAACCUGCGGAAGGAUCAUUAUUGAAAUAAACCUGAUAAGUUGCUGCUGGUUCUCUAGGGAGCAAUGUGCACACUUGUCAUCUUUAUAUCUUCACCUGUGCACUUUUUGUAGACCUGAGUAUCUCUCUGAAUGCUUUUAUAGCAACCAGGAUUGAUAAUUGACUUUUUGUCUCUUGUUAUAUUUUCAGGUCUAUGUUUCUUCACAUACCCCAAUGUAUGUUUAUAGAAUGUAAUUAAUGGGCCUUUGUGCCUAUAAACCUUUACAACUUUCAGCAACGGAUCUCUUGGCUCUCGCAUCGAUGAAGAACGCAGCGAAAUGCGAUAAGUAAUGUGAAUUGCAGAAUUCAGUGAAUCAUCGAAUCUUUGAACGCACCUUGCGCUCCUUGGUAUUCCGAGGAGCAUGCCUGUUUGAGUGUCAUUAAUAUUAUCAACCUUUUUGGUUGGAUGUGGGUUUGCUGGCCUUUUGUUUUGGGAGGUCAGCUUUCCUUAAAUGCAUUAGCGGACAACAAUUUGCCAACUGUUCAUUAGUGUGAUAAUUAUCUACGCUAUUGACAUGAGAGCAAGGUUCAGCUUCUAACUGUCCAUUAACUUGGACAAGCCUCUGUUUUUAUUAAUGUGACCUCAAAUCAGGUAGGACUACCCGCUGAACUUAAGCAUAUCAAUAAGCGGAGGAAAAGAAACUAACAAGGAUUCCCCUAGUAACUGCGAGUGAAGCGGGAAAAGCUCAAAUUUAAAAUCUGGCAGUCUUUGGCUGUCCGAGUUGUAAUCUAGAGAAGCAUUAUCCGCGCUAGACCGUGUACAAGUCUCCUGGAAUGGAGCGUCAUAGAGGGUGAGAAUCCCGUCUUUGACACGGACUGCUAGGGCUUUGUGAUGUGCUCUCAAAGAGUCGAGUUGUUUGGGAAUGCAGCUCAAAAUGGGUGGUAAAUUCCAUCUAAAGCUAAAUAUUGGCGAGAGACCGAUAGCGAACAAGUACCGUGAGGGAAAGAUGAAAAGAACUUUGGAAAGAGAGUUAAACAGUACGUGAAAUUGCUGAAAGGGAAACGCUUGAAGUCAGUCGCAUUGUCCGGGGAUCAACCUUGCUUUUGCUUGGUGUACUUUCUGGUUAAUGGGUCAGCAUCAAUUUUGACUAUUGGAAAAAGAUUGAGGGAAUGUGGCAUCCUUGGAUGUGUUAUAGCCCUUGGUUGCAUACAAUAGUUGGGAUUGAGGAACUCAGCACGCCGCAAGGCCGAGUUUUUAACUACGUACGUGCUUAGGAUGCUGGCAUAAUGGCUUUAAUC